Chiroxiphia lanceolata (lance-tailed manakin) is the source of this 1988-nucleotide long non-coding RNA. RefSeq lists it as uncharacterized. The transcript has 4 exons. Lineage: Eukaryota; Metazoa; Chordata; Aves; Passeriformes; Pipridae. The record is from RefSeq and is a predicted model, not a curated record.
AUUACCCAUUCUCAGGAUGAAAAAGCAAGUCCUUUUCCAAAUUAGCCAGAAGAGAAUGCCUUUGUUUGUUUGUUUAACUACCUUAUGAAUCAUAAGCAUCCAGGAUAGUUUUAUUAAGGCCUCCGGUUUCCCGUGCCCAAGGCCUGCUCUCAAAGCCAGACUCACCUGGAGGUGGACACUGGCGGGCUUCAGUAUUUAAAGAAAAUCAAUAGCAAGGACUGAAAAGGUUUAUCAACAACAUUCGACAGACGUGAAGGAAUGCUCAGGCCCUUGUUUUUUUUUCCACAACGAGUCAGAAAUACGAAGGAUAAGAUUUCUGGUUUAGAUUUAGAUCCCUUAGUGGGACUUAACUAGGAGAAACAGAGCAGCUACUACUGCCAGCAUGAACUCGCAGGAAUGACGCAGCUGGCAGCAGGCUUUCUUCAGGUACUGAAAUGCUCAAUUAGGUCACCCUGAAAUCUUCUCUUCUCCAGGCUGAACAAUCCCAAUCCUCUCAGCCUUUCCUGGAAGAGACAUUGCCGUUGAAGACUGAGGGAAAAAAGUUGCUAAGUACCUCAGCCUUCUCCUCAUCCAUUGUAACCCAUUUUCCAGCAUUGUGUGUUGGACACAGUUUUCUGGUUCACAUGGUGUCUCUUCAUCCAGGUUUGGACAAGGCAUUCCAUUAUUGGCAGGCUGAAGAAGCACAAAACGAGUUCUGAUCUUGGUCCCUGUUUCUCUGCAAACGCCUCUGCAGAGACCCCAGGAAGACCAUUGGGAAACCUCACAGUCCAGGGGUGUUUCUGCAGUACACACAACAAAAACGUAAUUUUACAUGAAGCUGUACUUGAGUCAAAUACACAGUUGAAAAAGCAUUAAGGAAUUAUGAUCAAAUAGCAUCCUUUCUUAUACAAAAAAUACAUGUGAUAGUAAUAAAAUCCAUAUGUUGUCUCUUAAAAUAAAUAAAGGUCUGGUUUCAUCUCCUAAGCUCAUGAACAAUGAUAUUAUUGUUAUUGCAAUCUAGAGCAUGUCUGAGAUAUUAUAUCAGUAGUGCAGCAUAUUAUCUAUUGAAUUGAAACUACAGAAUUCCUUUAAAAGAAAACUAUGCUUGAAAUAAUUGCACCCAAAAGACUGAAUUAAAAAACAUUUACUGUCAAUUUUAUAACUCAUUUGCCUUUUCAUGGCUUACUAGAAACGCUGAGAUUAAAGCUUUUCUCUGGUUUGUUUGGAUAUAUUUAUAUUUCUUAGCUAUUGUUCCUAUAGUUGGUCAUAUCGAAUUCCAUUUUAAUUUUAUUACAAUUUUGCUUCAGAAAUAAAGAAAAGUCCCAUUUCUUACAUUAAAUCAUCUUACUAUUGUUUGGUGUGUAUACUACUCCCCCUUUUGCCAAUAAAGAUGUUCUGUCACUGUAAGCUUUCUAAUACUAAAAGGGGUUUCAGUAUAAUUUGCCUCAGGAAAAGAAAUUAGAAACUCUAAAGUACUUUGCACAAUGUAUGCUUCUGGUGAAAAUAUCUCUCAUAAAAGCAUGACUGAGUAUUCCUUAGCAGGUUACAUUAAAAUAUUGCUUGUCACAGGAAGUUGCAUCAACACUUCCUGUUACAGCAUUUGCAGGUAAAAUAGGUGUGCACAAAACCAUCUUUAAAUGCCACACUAAGUGUGUGACACCUGGUAUAAAUUUCUGGCAUUACAGUGAACUCACCACUUCUGCUGUCAUCAGUCAUUCCUGUUUCUAGAAGGAAUGAGGGACACAGCUUGACCUCUGGUAGUUAAAUCUGUCCUUUUGAUUCUGGAAUACGUUUUUAAGCAGACUGAUUUACUGGUGAGCAUACAAUAAAGUGGGGAUUUGUGAUUAAAAAGUAAUUUUGAAAUGCCAUACUUUAAAUGCAUUGUUUUAAAUUUAUACCCUAAAGAGGGCCAAAUGUUCAUUUUGAAUGCUGUGGGACAGACAUAACUGCAAAUGAGAUAUGUGGCAGUCACUUUGGAUGUGUCUUGUUUACUAACAGAAGUACAUUAA